AGAGUUGUGGUGGAGGCAGCGGUGAGCAGGUAGAGUUGUGGUGGAGGCAGCAUUGAGCGAGUAGAAUAAUGAUGGAGACAGCAGUAAGUGAGUAGAUUUUUGGUGGAGGCAGUGGUGAGCAGAUACAUUUGUAAUAGAGGUAGUAUAGAGCGGAUACAGUUGUGAUGAAGACCAUGAGUUUGUGAUGGAGGCAGUAGUGAGCGGAUAGAGUUGUGAUGGAGGCAGCUGUGAGUGGAUAGAGUUGUGGUGGAGGCAGCGGUGAGCAGAUAGAGUUGUGAUGGAGGCAGUGGUGAGCAGAUAGAGUUGUGGUGGAGGCAGCAUUGAGCUAGUAGAAUAAUGAUGGAGACAGCAGUAAGUGAGUAGAUUUUUGGUGGAGGCAGUGGUGAGCAGAUACAUUUGUAAUAGAGGUAGUAUAGAGCGGAUACAGUUGUGAUGAAGACCAUGAGUUUGUGAUGGAGGCAGUAGUGAGCAGAUAGAGUUGUGAUGGAGGCAGUGGUGAGCAGAUAGAGUUGUGAUAGAGGCAGCGGUGAGCAGAUAGAGUUGUGAUGGAGGCAGUGGUGAGCAGAUAGAGUUGUGGUGGAGGCAGCGGUGAGCAGGUAGAGUUGUGGUGGAGGCAGCGGUGAGCAGGUAGAGUUGUGAUAGAGGCAGUGGUGAGCAGAUAGAGUUGUGAUAGAGGCAGUGGUGAGCAGAUAGAGUUGUGGUGGAGGCAGCGGUGAGCAGGUAGAGUUGUAGUGGAGGCAGCGGUGAGCAGGUAGAGUUGUGGCGGAGGCAGCAUUGAGUGAGUAGAGUUGUGGUGGAGGCAGUGGUGAGCAGAUAGAGUUGUGAUGGAGGCAGUGGUGAGCAGAUAGAGUUGUGGUGGAGGCAGCGGUGAGCAGGUAGAGUUGUGGUGGAGGCAGCGGUGAGCAGGUUGAGUUGUGGUGGAGGCAGUAGUUGUAUGUUUAGGAGGCAGGUUUAUGUGUAUUAUCUGAUUUGGGGUUACGUGUUUGGGAUUUGGGGUUAGACUGGAGCAAAGGAGAUAUUUCAAUGAAUACAUUUAUGUAAAGGAUGAAUGUUGACGUUUGGACAAGCAGUGUGUGCAUUUGGCAUGAGACAUGAAUGGGUCAGGUAUUUUUUAUGUUAUCAGCAUUUGGCGUCCAUUAUAGUGUAGUGUUAGUUAACGCUAGAACACCUAUAUUUCCUGUUUUCUCCUAGUAGAGAUUUUUUACCUCUAUCUAAACUUAUUUAAUGGAUAUUGCUCUCUGACCAAGACUGAAAGCCAGCUGGGUUAAAUAACGGGGUGCACUCGAGAAUUGCAGGGGCUCUCUGUGUCUUUAAUUUACUGGAAUGAUGCCUCUUACUGCCUCCCAUUCCACCCACACUGACAUAAUAACCAUGAUGACACACUGCACACUCCACUGGCAGCAACUUAAUAAGGACCAGCAAUUGUCAGCCUGGUCUCACAUUAUUUUGCUUUGCACUGACAGGGGUUGGAGGGCUCAGCUGAUAUCCCCCCUCUUCUAUGGUUCUUAGUAUGAUCCACUCCUACCGCAUGUGUGGAGAGCAGAGCAUAUGGAGGUACGUGGAGGCUGAUUAAAGUAUGAGAUGUUUUAUAUACAAAGCAGUAUGUAAGCUGUUUUUAAUGAUAGGGGCCGGGAGAGCUGUAUGUAUAAGGCCUUAAGGAAGAGUCAGAUUGGUUUUUUUCAUGUGUUUUAUCACUUUCUCUGUAUUUCUCUGUUUUUCCUCCACAUCGUUUCUUCAAAA
This 1740-nucleotide long non-coding RNA is filed under the name Pelobates cultripes (western spadefoot toad). The record is from RNAcentral. Lineage: Eukaryota; Metazoa; Chordata; Amphibia; Anura; Pelobatidae.